AACGCACAUUGCGCCCGCCAGCAUUCUGGCGGGCAUGCCUGUUCGAGCGUCAUUUCACCCCUCAGGCACUGCCUGGCGAUGGGGCCCCCGGGUCUUGCUUCCCGGGCCCUGAAAUACAGUGGCAGUCUCGUCCACAACCCGAGCGUAGUAAUGCUCUCGCUUAGGGGCUGUGUUCGGGCCUUGCCUUGAACCUUCUAUCAAGAGUUGACCUCGGAUCAGGUAGGAAUACCCGCUGAACUUAA
RNAcentral lists this unclassified non-coding RNA (242 nucleotides) under uncultured fungus. RNAcentral describes it as "partial contains 5.8S ribosomal RNA, internal transcribed spacer 2, and large subunit ribosomal RNA". Lineage: Eukaryota; Fungi. The record is from RNAcentral.